Camelus dromedarius (Arabian camel) is the source of this 2312-nucleotide long non-coding RNA. RefSeq annotates it as methylglutaconyl-CoA hydratase, mitochondrial. The transcript is spliced from 10 exons. NCBI's taxonomy places the organism in Eukaryota, Metazoa, Chordata, Mammalia, Artiodactyla, Camelidae. The record is from RefSeq and is a predicted model, not a curated record.
AUGCGACCCGCCCCCGGGGUCACGAAAGCCAAUCCGCGCGCAGGCUUCUCGGCCCCGCCCCGGCGUCCUCUUCCGCACCGUCCCUCCCUCCGCCCACUCGAAGGUCAGUUUGUCAGGCGGCCAGGGGGAAUCCUGUGCGAGCAGCUGGCUGCUCUGCGGUUCUCCCGAGCGGCGCAGGCCCUGCUCCCUCCGGCCAACGGCGGCGGCUGCAGCGGCGGCAGGGCAGUCCCUCCGGGAGGCGCGGUGUGGGCCGAGCGGCUGCCGCGGAGCUUCGUGCCCAGCUCGGCGGCGGCGGCGGCGGCGGCGGCGGCGGCGGCCCCAAGAUGGUCCGCGGGCAGGUAUUCGACGUGGGCGGCGCUCCAGCAGCCUGCUACACCGGCGAGGGCUCCCCCGACGUGGUGUGGAUUUGUGGGGCUUGGAAUAAACAGAGUUUAUGCCAAAAGUUCAUUGAGUAAAAAUCUUAUAAAAAUGCUCUCAAAAGCUGUGGAUGCUUUAAAAUCUGAUAACAAAGUGCAGACCAUAACAGAAGUGAAGUCCCAGGGAUACUCUGUGCUGAUAACCGUGCCGUGCCCUAGGACCGACUCCAGGUUGGGAUUCGGUGUCACAUGUAUACUCCUCCUUGUGGAUGCACUGCUUCUGGGUUCAUGGCUUGCCUGCGGUGACCUUAAGGAAAGAGUAAAAAUGAAUUCCGAUGGAGUUGCCCCUUUUGUCUCCAAAAUAAGAGCAGUGAUUAAUGAAAUCGCUUGUGGGCCAUCCUGUGUCCUCUGGCUCAGACCUUCUCCCGGGCCAAGAUGAAACAAACCCAACAAGAGAAGUCAUAUGCACUCAAUUUCUCUCCUUGGUGGCUAACUUUGCCUCGUUCCCCUCUCACCUCACGCCAGCCUACGUCAUCUGGGCCUCACCAGGUUGGAAAACCUCCGGGCCUGGGCUUUCUCCCAGGAAGAGGUGACAUACAGAGGGAAGAUCAUGUGAGGACCGGGGAAAGGGCGGCUGUCUUAAAAGUCAAGGAGAGUGGCCUCAGGAGAAGCCACCCUGCCCUUCGAAUUCUAGCCUCCAGAACUGAGAAGGAAUAAACAUCUGUCGGUUCAGACCCCAUUCUGGGGUGUUUUGUUACGCAGCCUGAGAAAAGUAACACCCUGUCUGAACUAAUACACUGUCGUGCAAAUGCACUCCCUCCAGCCGGCUCUGCAUCCCCACGCAGCAGGGGAACUGGACUUCAGGAUGCUUGGAUCUCACCCAGGCUGUCAGGUGUAUGGUGGCUGAUGAAGAGAAUAUCGGCCAGCAAAGUGCCAGUUCUGGAUUAUGGUCUGUUAACCACAGAUGCCGAGACGUUGACAGAUGCCCAGAUGUUGACAGAUGCCCUGAAUAAUCAGAAUUUUAGAGUCGUUACUGUGGGUGAAUCUUGCUCCAUGACGUCCAGAAAUGCAGCUCGCAGCAGGAUUUCACUGCCACUGGUCCAGAAAGCCACAUCAGCCGUUCUUCUUAUAGGAACCCCAGCUCUGGGAAGGCCUGAAGAGGCAUCAACAUCCUUAUACUUUGGGCUUUAAAAAAAGAACUGAAUCGAUCACUGUUUUUGUAAUUUUUAAUUUUAAAUUUGAUGCCCCAGAUGCCAUAAGAGCACAUUGGGAAUUUCUAGACAGCUGUUCAUGAUUAAAUACAUCUUUUGCCAUGGCUGCUUUUAUCUGUUUACAUGUGAGCCUUAGCCAUGCUUAUAGUUGUAUAUAAAAAAUAGCAUCUACCAUUAUUAUAAGAUGUUCAUAUUUAGUACACAUUUGUAAUAUUCUUCAUAUUUGUGUUCUUAAGGUUUUUCUAUAGUCUUAACUUUCAAUUAUCUAGUUUAUUUUACAUCUCCCUAGGAUUGGGGUUGAAUCUCCUCUGUACCUUUUAGACUACAUUACAUAACUCCUCUCUCUUCCUCUUUCACUUCAAAAUCCACAUUUGGGAAGGUAGAGGGGUGGGUACAGCUCAGUGAUAGAGCACUGUGCUUAGCGUGCACAAGGUCCUGGGUUCAAUUCCCAGUACCUCCACUAAUAACAACAAAUGUAAAUACAAAAUCCACAUUUGGGAAGGUAGAGAGAAAAUAGAAGUUAUGUGCAGACCAGGGGGGAUAUCUGCUCUGAAUGGAAGAAUAAGGCAUUUGUUUGAUGCCCUAUUUAGCUUUUACAGCUCUAAGAGGCAGAUGGGGUAUGGAGUAAUUAAAAGGCUGGGAAGGAAAAAUGAAGGAUGAAACACUAUUAAGGGUCAGUGUAACCUGGGGAAGCCCUGUCUGUGAAGGAGCGCCCAGUCAAAAAAAAAAAAAAAAUACAGGCUUG